Gallus gallus (chicken) is the source of this 1695-nucleotide long non-coding RNA. NCBI's taxonomy places the organism in Eukaryota, Metazoa, Chordata, Aves, Galliformes, Phasianidae. The record is from Ensembl.
GAGCCCCCCGCCCAGGAGCCCCCGGCCCAGGAGCCCCCCAGUCUCCAUCUGCUUGUUCAGAUGAAUGUCCUUACUACGGGGAUGUGGCCGCUACUGAAGAGGGCCACCGACAUGGAUAUGAACAAUCAUAAGGACAUGGACACGGAUGCGGACAUGAACCUGGACACAGAUGAGCACCCAGAAGUGGGAGCAGACGGGAGCGCCCCAAAGGAUGUGGACCAGAGCGUGCUGAUGGACCCAGGCAGGAUCAGACCGAUGGAUCCACGCAGAAACAUCCCCAUGGAUCCAGACAGGGCCAUCCCAGCAGAUGCAGGCAGGACUAACCCAACGGGGUGCCUCUGGGGUCCCAAGGGCACGGCCCAUCUGCGGGUGACCCCGGGGCUGUGCCGGGCCAGGCAGCGCCUGCAGCACAGCUUCUCCAGGCUGUGGCGGUGGGUGCAGGAGCGCUGGAGACACUGCCGUGCACAGCCCUUUUGGCAGCGCUGGUCCUCCGUGGGGAGGAAGACUCCCUGAGCCCGAGUGUGGGGCCCGGCACUGCCACAGCCCCACCGCGCUCCCUCCGGCUCAGACCACUGACGAGUUUCCCUUCCCGGCUGCUGCUGAUCCCUUCCCAUCCCAGAGUCACACAGCCCAGCAGUGCCCCCGAGCAGCGAUGGGUCCCAAGGACCACUUGGGAUGGUCAUGCAGAUGCUGCUGCUGCUGCAGCACAGCCUGUUUGCAGUCGUGCUGCGGUCCCGGCGGCUGCGGAAGAUCUGCCGGAGGUUGGGGAAGAAGAGGAGAGCGCCGAGCGCCAGGAGGAAGAAGGGAGAGGUGAGCAGCCCCAGUGCCAGCGCUGAGCAGCCUAGCCAGUGUGGGGCUGGGCGGGGGUCCCGGCCGUUCACACGCUCUUGCUUUGGCAGAUGCUUGCGGGAAGGACAGAGCAGCGGGGAUGCCGUCGCCGACGUGGGAAUUGCGGUGAGUGCUGCUUGGCCAACCUGCCCCCCAUUGCUGCAGGGCCUGGCGUCAGGGCCACGGGUGGGUGCUGUGCUGGGGUCGUGGCCGGGGGCUGUGCUGCGGGCAUGGCGGCAGCGGGUCCCCUCAUCUCCUCCAUUUCCUCCUGCAGGACGAGCCCACGGGAAAGGAGCAGGAAGCCACCCCGGGCCCCGCUGGCAUCCAUGCUGUCCCUGGGCUCCCUCGAUGAAUCUUCUUCCUCCUCCUGUUCCUCCCUCUACUCCUUCCCAGAGCCCUGGCCCGGUGCACUGGCAGAGUUGGCUGCCCUUGCCCCUGGGGCCGCCUCAGAGCCACGAGAGCCACAACCAGAGCCAGAGCCACAGCAAGAACCAGCAGCAGAGUCAGAGGCAGAGGAAGAGCCUGAGGAAGAGCCUGAGGAAUAGCUGGAGCCCGAACCAGAGUCAGAGGCAGAGUCAGAGGAAGAGGCAGAGGAAGAGCCUGAGGCAGAGCCAUCCCUGUGCCCCAGCUCGGAGUCCCCGGCUCUGCUGCCAGCAGCCUCCAGCACCCCCCACUCCCUGGGGCUGAGUGAGCAGAGCGAUGGAGCGCAGAGCCCCAUGGAGCCCUCCCCACCCCACUGCUCCCACACGAAGCUCAUCCAGGAGCUGCUCUGUGCCAUCCGUGAGAACCACGCAGCCGUUGAGCACCGCUGCCAACUGCUGCGGGCAGUGCUGGAGCGGCAGAGGGCAGCCGGGACGCCCAGAGAGC